Molecule: long non-coding RNA, 3287 nt
Organism: Triticum aestivum (bread wheat)
Lineage: Eukaryota; Viridiplantae; Streptophyta; Magnoliopsida; Poales; Poaceae
Exons: 6
Source: RefSeq, a predicted model, not a curated record
ACUUUUCCAAUUUGCCCUCCCGCAUCGUUCGUUCACUGUCCGCACCGCUCGCUCGCUCAGUUGCUCACAGCGCUAGCUCCACUCGCUCUCCCAGUCACUCUCCCAGAUCCGCUCGUCGGCGGCCCGCGUCCCCAUCGCCAGCCUCCCCUCUGCCACUCCCCCUCGACGUCGGUCUCCCCUCUGCCUCUCCCUCUCGACGUCGCCGGCCUCUUCCACCACCCGUCCUCCAGUCACAGUCUGUAUGCGCCGCUGAAAAAUUUGAUUUUUUUCCGCCGGUGACGAGCUUCUAUGCGGUGGAGGCGCGCGGGCGCUCGAUCUACGUGCGCCGGUGGAUCUACCCCUCCCCAGCUCCUACCUCCACCCCUACAGAAGGCGAAGAAGACUCGGCCCAGCUCCCUCCUCUCCCGGAUCCCCAGGCCCAGCACGACGUCGCCGGCGCCCGGGCGCUUGAAGAGGCGGAAUCGGAGCUGCUGCUGGUGGUGGAGGCCCCCGGGGGAGGCGCUGGGGGAGGAGGCCUCCGCCGCGUCCUUGGGCGGGCUGCCCAGGCCGUCAGUCCGCGGCGAGCGCAGGGAGCCACUAGUGGCGAACAAUUCCGUGGCGGCGGCGCCGGACUACGGGGACUACAGGGAGUUCCUGUCCCAUUACUGCAGGUGGGGUGUAGUUGAGGUCUGGGAGAUCCAUGUUAUCCAAGCAACUGAAAAGAACAUUUAAGGAUCUCUCCUGGCCAUGGAUCCAAGUACUGAAAUAGGGGUCUUCUCUCCUCUUAAGUAGAGUAAGUACUCCAUUACUCUACUCCUAGAUAAACAUAUCAACAUGAUGCAAAUUGUUGGAGUAAAAAGCAACAUGGUACUGCAAUUUCAGUACAUUUAAUUAUUUCAAUCAUAUUCAGUGUACUCCAAGUCAGUGGUACAACAUAUCUACAGUUGAUCAUUUCAGUAGAAACUUGCUAAACUGAAACAUUUCUGGAGUAGCUGCUAAUUUUUGCUGCUGUCAAUCAAGAUAAACUUGAAACUUGCUAUCCUAUUCUGAAGGAGGUGAUUUCAUACUAGAUGUCAGACAUUCUUGCAGUAGCUCUAGGAGGAGCUGCAGGAGGUUUGGCAUUAGUUGGUGCCAUCACACUCAUUGUAGUGAUAUGCCUACCGCACCGCGGAAGGAAUUCAGAUUCUUCAGAGAGUAAUUCGUCCGGUCAAGCUCUUCCAGACAUGCAAGGAGCAACAUGUAUGACACUGGAGGAACUAAGGUCUGCUACAAAUAACUUCAGCAGCUCGAAUCUCGUCGGACAUGGAAUGUUCGGAGAGGUAUACAACGGUUUGCUCCAUGGAUAGGAUAGGUACUGCAGACAGACAGUGGGCCACUGUAUAUUGCCCUAACAUAGCAUGGCUGAAAUAGAAUCAGUUUUUUCUCUUCUAUUUUUCAGAUGAGAGACAGCUUUACAGAAAUGAAAAUCACACUCCAAAAAGGGUUUUCGUCGCAAAAUUAGGCAGAAAAGAUGAACCUAGGCCAGCAGCUCCUGUGCAGCGGCGAGUACUUCAGCGGCAGCAGCUCCUGUGUGUGGUGAGUGCUUCAGCGGCAGCAGCUCCCCUGGGUGCGUGCGGGCACCAGCUCGCCUUCACCAGCAGCCAGCAGCAGAGCAGCAGCUCGACUCCACCAGCAGACAGCAGCAGAGCACCAGCCCGCCUCCACGAGCAGGCGACAGCAGAGCAUCACCUAGGCGUGCGCGGUCCAGGAGGAGCCCUAGGACGGCGUGGGUGGAGGUGGAGGCGGGGGCCGAGGCGGAGGUGGAGAGCGGGGACGAAGGCGGAGGCGGAGGUGGAGGCGGGGGCGGAGGCGGAGGUGGAGGGCAGGGGCGGAGACGGAGGUGGAGGGCGGGGCCGGAGGCGGAGGUGGAGGGCAGGGGCGGUGGCGGAGGUGGAAGACGAUCCAGCGACCUGAUUCAAAAUUUAAACUAAGGUGCGUCUGAAAAGGGAAUUGCUACAUGUCAGUCGGCGGAUCUUUUCUGAAAGAUCCGCCGCCUCAACAACCAUUAUAUGUGGCGACAUCAAGCGACCCCCCAUGCUCUCAUCAUUCCAACAAAGGCAAUCUUGCAGUGCUUCUGAAAAGGGAACUGCUACACGUCGGUCGGCGGAUCUUUUUUGAAAGAUCCGCCGCCUCAACAACCAUUACAUGUGGCGACAUCAAGUGACCCAACCAUGCUCUCAUCAUUUCAACAAAGGCAAUGUUGCAGUGCUUCUGAAAAGGGAACUGCUACGCGUCGGUCGGUGGAUCUUUUCUGAAAGAUCCGCCGCCUCAACAACCAUUACAUGUGGCGACAUCAAGUGACCCAACCAUGCUCUCAUCAUUUCAACAAAGGCAAUGUUGCAGAACCUUUUGCAACAAAGCUCAUGUUGCAAAAACUUUUGAACAGGGGUUGUGUUGCGGGAAAAAAAUCAGCUUCACAUUUUUGCAACAUAGGUGAUGUCGCGGAAGGACUUCUACAACAUGAAUGAUGUUGCGGAAACAUUUUGCAAUCAAAGAUGAUGUUGAAUUGCCGUCUAGUCGUUUCCUUCUUUGCCAUAGAAGCCUUGUUGCAAACACUAUCUCGUGUGGAUAAGGAUAGACUGCGACAUGUGGCUAGUGUGAGUUGUAGCAUGCGUGGGCCACAUCCACUUGUCAUCCAUGGGAGGCGACGGGCAAAACUCAUGAAAUCUGCCGGUUGAAGGGGAUCAUUUCCCUUCCGAAAAUCACUCACGACUGCUGAUUUUGAUUUGAAGGAAAAAAAUCAAAUCCGGAAGCUUACUUCCUUACAAUAUGCAUUGGUCCUUAGUUUUAGGAAACAAAUCAAAUCCGACAGCUUGCUUCCUUAGGAAGCAAAAUUUGUGUUCGGUGCAACUAAUGCGUGCAUCCACCCUUGUUUGUAAUGUUGCCUAUCAAUUCACAACAAAUUAAUUUAUGUUUCGUUCAUUGGAGAAUUUGCUUCUAUGGUAAAUGAUAUCUGCUUCGAUUUAUUUGAAAGUUUUUCUCCUUUGUAAUGUGAUAUUUUUUAACAAAAGAAUCACUAUCUUGCUUCUAUAAACCAUACAAUUGGUAUAAGCCUGCUUCCAUCAAAAAGGAAAUAUUCCACAUGUUUGAGAAGGAUCACAAUCUUGUUUCCAUCUACUAAUAAUUGUUUCCAACCAAAUUAUUAUAUUGCUUCCACUAAAGAGAAAGAUAUUUCCAGUCAUAAUUACACCAUGGUUCUAAUUCAAAUGAAGGGUUUGUUUGCUGAAAGGACAUGCGGUGCCCCCAUGUGUGGUUUUGGUAAUUGAUGA